RNAcentral lists this ribosomal RNA (544 nucleotides) under Salmonella enterica subsp. enterica serovar Bovismorbificans. RNAcentral describes it as "partial 23S ribosomal RNA". It matches the Rfam family "Bacterial large subunit ribosomal RNA", at positions 1 to 575 of the family's 2925-position model. The record is from RNAcentral. Lineage: Bacteria; Pseudomonadati; Pseudomonadota; Gammaproteobacteria; Enterobacterales; Enterobacteriaceae. RNAcentral also lists the same sequence under 1 other name.
GGGUUGUGAGGUUAAGCGACUAAGCGUACACGGUGGAUGCCCUGGCAGUCAGAGGCGAUGAAGGGCGUGCUAAUCUGCGAUAAGCGCCGGUAAGGUGAUAUGAACCGUUAUAACCGGCGAUACCCGAAUGGGGAAACCCAGUGUGACUCGUCACACUAUCAUUAACUGAAUCCAUAGGUUAAUGAGGCGAACCGGGGGAACUGAAACAUCUAAGUACCCCGAGGAAAAGAAAUCAACCGAGAUUCCCCCAGUAGCGGCGAGCGAACGGGGAGGAGCCCAGAGCCUGAAUCAGCAUGUGUGUUAGUGGAAGCGUCUGGAAAGGCGCGCGAUACAGGGUGACAGCCCCGUACACAAAAGCGCAUGUGCUGUGAGCUCGAUGAGUAGGGCGGGACACGUGGUAUCCUGUCUGAAUAUGGGGGGACCAUCCUCCAAGGCUAAAUACUCCUGACUGACCGAUAGUGAACCAGUACCGUGAGGGAAAGGCGAAAAGAACCCCGGCGAGGGGAGUGAAAAAGAACCUGAAACCGUGUACGUACAAGCAGUG